Molecule: long non-coding RNA, 245 nt
Filed under: Mytilus galloprovincialis (Mediterranean mussel)
Lineage: Eukaryota; Metazoa; Mollusca; Bivalvia; Mytilida; Mytilidae
Source: RNAcentral
UUUGGCUCUUUGAAAUUGAAAAUCAAAAAUUGUUUUAGUUUAUAAAACAGCCUUUCAGGAUAAUUUAAGCAUGUUACUGAAGUCAAAGUGAUAUCCCCUUGACAACUGAAUUUUCCAAAACUGCAGUAUUUGGAUAAUAUCACAGUUUUCGUGUACCAGUAGAAUUAACAUACCUGGUAGUUUUUUUUAAAGGUGUUAAGAAUUUAACUAUUUUUAAAAUAUUAGGGGUCAAAAAAACGGCUUUU